RNAcentral lists this unclassified non-coding RNA (273 nucleotides) under uncultured Glomerales. Its description in RNAcentral is "sequence contains 5.8S rRNA gene, ITS2, 28S rRNA gene". Lineage: Eukaryota; Fungi; Glomeromycota; Glomeromycetes; Glomerales; Glomeraceae. The record is from RNAcentral.
AACGCAAAUUGCACUCUUCGGUUUUUCCGAGAGUAUGCCUGUUUGAGGGUCGGUAAAAUGAAAUAUCGAUUUGUUGCUUAUUGCAACAUUUCGGAGUUGGGUUAACUUAAUAUUUUUAAGUGACCUAAAAUUCAUUACCUCGGUAUGAUUAACGUUCUUAAAUGAUUUCGUUUUGAAUGCCGAAUUUCUUAUUAGACGGUGACUAUUUUAGCAUCACUUCUAUAAUUUUUGAAUUUCGACCUCAAAUCAAGUAAGAAUACCCGCUGAACUUAA